Molecule: ribosomal RNA, 180 nt
Filed under: uncultured Glomeromycotina
Lineage: Eukaryota; Fungi; Glomeromycota
Description: partial small subunit ribosomal RNA
Source: RNAcentral
GAAUCAGUACGCUGGUCGUGCCUUCGGUAUGUACUGGUGUCACUGGUUUCUCCCUUCUGAAGAACCAUCAUGCCAUUCACUUGGUGUGGUGGGAAAUCAGGACUGUUACUUUGAAAAAAUUGGAGUGUUUAAAGCAGGCUUUCAAGCUUGAACAUAUUAGCAUGGAAUAAUGAAAUAGGA